AUCACUUCUCGACCUUUUGGCUAAGAUCAAGUGUAGUAUCUGUUCUUAUCAGUCAAAACACACACACACACACACACACACACACACACACACACACACACACACACAGAAAGGAAAAACCACCAAAAGACAGUAUUAGAAGAUAAUGCUUGGUUGUUAAAAAUAGUUAUGAUUAAUUACCUUCA
Small nuclear RNA from Alexandromys fortis (reed vole), 185 nucleotides. RefSeq annotates it as U2 spliceosomal RNA. The record is from RefSeq and is a predicted model, not a curated record. Lineage: Eukaryota; Metazoa; Chordata; Mammalia; Rodentia; Cricetidae. The transcript has a single exon.